This 27-nucleotide non-coding RNA is filed under the name Homo sapiens (human). Lineage: Eukaryota; Metazoa; Chordata; Mammalia; Primates; Hominidae. The record is from RNAcentral.
GCCAUGGAUGGGCAUUUGGUGAUGAUG